UCUUGAUGAUGAUACAAAGCACGCUGAGCAAAAUGUAGUUGGUCCUUCAUUUGCAUUAGCUGAUGUUCACUGUCCUUUUCAAGACGGGGCUGAGAGAAGC
Lates calcarifer (barramundi perch) is the source of this 100-nucleotide small nucleolar RNA. Its record names the gene SNORD21. It matches the Rfam family "Small nucleolar RNA SNORD21". From Rfam's summary of the family: U21 is a member of the C/D class of snoRNA which contain the C (UGAUGA) and D (CUGA) box motifs. U21 is encoded within an intron of the gene for ribosomal protein L5 in mammals, but within introns of the ADP ribosylation factor gene in Drosophila. NCBI's taxonomy places the organism in Eukaryota, Metazoa, Chordata, Actinopteri, Centropomidae. The record is from Ensembl.